Molecule: ribosomal RNA, 403 nt
Filed under: Papilio memnon agenor
Lineage: Eukaryota; Metazoa; Arthropoda; Insecta; Lepidoptera; Papilionidae
Also listed under: 5 other names
Description: partial 16S ribosomal RNA
Source: RNAcentral
GGGCUGCAGUAUUUUGACUGUACAAAGGUAGCAUAAUCAAUAGUCUCUUAAUUGGUGACUUGUAUGAAAGAUUGGAUGAGAUAUAUACUGUCUCUAAUUAAUUUAUAGAAUUUAAUUUUUUAGUAAAAAAGCUAAAAUAAGUUUAAAAGACGAGAAGACCCUAUAGAGUUUAAUAAUUUAUUUAAUUAUUAUUAAUAUAUAAUUUUUAAAAUUAAAAUUAAAUAGAUUAUUUUGUUGGGGUGAUAGAAAAAUUAAAUUAACUUUUUUUUGUUAUUUACAUUAAUUUAUGAUUAAGUGAUCCAUUUAUAAUGAUUAAAAGAAAAAAUUACCUUAGGGAUAACAGCGUAAUUUUUUUUUUUAGUUCAAAUAGGAAAAAAAGUUUGCGACCUCGAUGUUGGAUUAA